This is a ribosomal RNA of Bacteroides helcogenes P 36-108, 1525 nucleotides long. It matches the Rfam family "Bacterial small subunit ribosomal RNA". The record is from Rfam. NCBI's taxonomy places the organism in Bacteria, Pseudomonadati, Bacteroidota, Bacteroidia, Bacteroidales, Bacteroidaceae.
ACAAUGAAGAGUUUGAUCCUGGCUCAGGAUGAACGCUAGCUACAGGCUUAACACAUGCAAGUCGAGGGGCAGCAUUGUCAUAGCAAUAUGACAGAUGGCGACCGGCGCACGGGUGAGUAACACGUAUCCAACCUGCCUUCCACUCGGGAAUAGCCUUUCGAAAGAAAGAUUAAUGCCCGAUGGCACUGAAAGAGGUCAUCCUUUUUCAGUUAAAGAAUUUCGGUGGAAGAUGGGGAUGCGUUCCAUUAGCUUGUUGGCGGGGUAACGGCCCACCAAGGCAUCGAUGGAUAGGGGUUCUGAGAGGAAGGUCCCCCACAUUGGAACUGAGACACGGUCCAAACUCCUACGGGAGGCAGCAGUGAGGAAUAUUGGUCAAUGGGCGAGAGCCUGAACCAGCCAAGUAGCGUGAAGGAUGACUGCCCUAUGGGUUGUAAACUUCUUUUAUAAGGGAAUAAAACGGGCCACGUGUGGCCUUUUGCAUGUACCUUAUGAAUAAGGAUCGGCUAACUCCGUGCCAGCAGCCGCGGUAAUACGGAGGAUCCGAGCGUUAUCCGGAUUUAUUGGGUUUAAAGGGAGCGCAGACGGGGUCUUAAGUCAGUUGUGAAAGUUUGCGGCUCAACCGUAAAAUUGCAGUUGAUACUGGGGCUCUUGAGUGCAGUAUAGGCAGGCGGAAUUCGUGGUGUAGCGGUGAAAUGCUUAGAUAUCACGAAGAACUCCGAUUGCGAAGGCAGCCUGCUGGACUGUAACUGACGUUCAUGCUCGAAAGUGCGGGUAUCAAACAGGAUUAGAUACCCUGGUAGUCCGCACAGUAAACGAUGAAUACUCGCUGUUGGCGAUACACAGUCAGCGGCCAAGCGAAAGCGUUAAGUAUUCCACCUGGGGAGUACGCCGGCAACGGUGAAACUCAAAGGAAUUGACGGGGGCCCGCACAAGCGGAGGAACAUGUGGUUUAAUUCGAUGAUACGCGAGGAACCUUACCCGGGCUUGAAUUGCAGAGGAAUAUGUAGGAAACUAUAUAGCCGCAAGGUCUCUGUGAAGGUGCUGCAUGGUUGUCGUCAGCUCGUGCCGUGAGGUGUCGGCUUAAGUGCCAUAACGAGCGCAACCCUUAUCUAUAGUUACCAUCAGGCAAUGCUGGGGACUCUAUGGAGACUGCCGUCGUAAGAUGUGAGGAAGGUUGGGAUGACGUCAAAUCAGCACGGCCCUUACGUCCGGGGCUACACACGUGUUACAAUGGGGGGUACAGAAGGCAGCUACACAGCGAUGUGAUGCCAAUCCCAAAAACCUCUCUCAGUUCGGACUGGAGUCUGCAACCCGACUCCACGAAGCUGGAUUCGCUAGUAAUCGCGCAUCAGCCACGGCGCGGUGAAUACGUUCCCGGGCCUUGUACACACCGCCCGUCAAGCCAUGAAAGCCGGGGGUACCUGAAGUGCGUAACCGCGAGGAGCGCCCUAGGGUAAAACUGGUGAUUGGGGCUAAGUCGUAACAAGGUAGCCGUACCGGAAGGUGCGGCUGGAACACCUCCUUU